RNAcentral lists this ribosomal RNA (254 nucleotides) under uncultured bacterium. RNAcentral's name for it is "partial 16S ribosomal RNA". It matches the Rfam family "Bacterial small subunit ribosomal RNA", at positions 524 to 776 of the family's 1533-position model. The record is from RNAcentral.
UACGUAGGGUGCGAGCGUUGUCCGGAAUUAUUGGGCGUAAAGAGCUCGUAGGCGGUCUGUCGCGUCGAAUGUGAAAACCCGUGGCUCAACCAUGUGGUCUGCAGUCGAUACGGGCAGGCUAGAAUUCGGUAGGGGAGACUGGAAUUCCUGGUGUAGCGGUGAAAUGCGCAGAUAUCAGGAGGAACACCGGUGGCGAAGGCAGGUCUCUGGGCUAUAACUGACGCUCAUGCACGAAAGCGUGGGGAGCAAACAGG